CCAGGCGGAAGGGCAGUCUUUGGGGGAGGCUGUGACCAGGGCUGCGGCAGCACAACCCAAAUGAGGCGGUGAAUUUUCAGGUCGUUUUCUACGGAUCGGCUCUAGUCCGCCUUCCUGGCCCUUGUUUGGUGGGACCGAAUGGGACAGGGUCAUUUGGAGACCUCGACCUCGAGAGGAUAUUUUAUGAAACAAAACCUAAGAUUACUGUACACAUAUUGACACUAUUCUCAGAGUAAGUGUAGGCCUACCGAUGUCAGUUCCCAGCCAUAAUGCAUACCAGUAACCUUAGCUUCAAAACAAUCAUCAAAGUUCUUGACUUUACAGGCAACCCAGAUUGCAAUCUAAAGAGAUCAGGGCUGGGGGUGUGACUCCCAGAGACCUUGCCUCCCUAUCCCUAGUACUACAAAAGACAGACGGACACAGAGAGGGCAUGUACUCUCAAUGACAGUGGAUGACGCACCUCACUUUACAUCCACUCAUGUACUCAGCUCUGAUUACUGAGCAGCUACUUACUAUGUGCUUCAGGCAUGGGUUAGAGUUCAGGAAUACACGGACCUUCCUUUGAGACAGGGUUCCUGCUUUGGAUGUCACUAUCUGAGCAGAGAGAGGCACAGAGAGGCCAUCACAAUACAAGAUGAUGGGGAUACAGGGACAGAAGAAAGGUUGGAGCUGCCAGACUAAGGCCUUUCCAGCAAAAGUUAAAAGAACAGAGUUCAGCCUGGCCUUCAACUCCCUAUGUACCCCCAGGCUGGCCUGGAACUUGCCAUCCUCCUGCCUCAGCCUCCCAAGGGCUGGGAAAACAGAUGUGUCACCAUGCCCAGCUUCAGGGAGUUUCUGCUCUGUCCCCAUUUGCCUUUUCCUGCCUCUCCCUCCGUGCCCUUCCCUGUGACGUGAACUGGUUUCUGGGAAGCUCACUGCUGGUUCCAGGACUGAGGACCAGCUGAGAAGCCUGGAUCUGAGAGACCGUUUGGCCAGAGGACAAGCUGUGGAGUCAGUCGCCUUGGGGUGGGAGUCUUCUCUUUUGCCCACCUUCUAAGCCACUGUGUGGCUGUUCCAGGAAGCCAAGCCCAGAAGCGCAGUCCCAGGCGGCCCAGAGGCAGGUUCUGGGCUCUCGGAGAAGGCAGGUGGAAUUACAAGGAGAGAGGGAAAUGGAGGCAUCUGGACGGCCAAACCUUCCCCUCCUGGUGACUUCCUACAGCAACAGCUCCUUCGCCCAGAGCCCGGGAGCCCAGGCUGUGCACGGGGACAGAACCUCACCUUGUUCUCUGCCGAAGGCCCUGGGUGUGCAGGGGCUGGGACCAAGGAUGCAGAAAAAGCAGGUGCAGCCCGGGCCUUCCCUGAGGCUGCACGGAACCUGAGCUUCCGGUCCCUGAGCCUUCGGCUCUUAAGCGACUUAGAGGACCAGUGACAGGGCUGCUUGAGGAGAUAGCCUGUGGAUUUAGCUCUUUCCUUCUCUCAUCGGAUCCCUAAUUUCAAAUUAUUGAAAACCACAAACCCGUGACUCACUUGGAUUGACAAAGGCCUCCAAUCCGGG
Molecule: long non-coding RNA, 1534 nt
Filed under: Heterocephalus glaber (naked mole-rat)
Lineage: Eukaryota; Metazoa; Chordata; Mammalia; Rodentia; Bathyergidae
Description: lncRNA (ENSHGLG00100046942.1)
Source: RNAcentral